CCCUCGGUGGUGGAAUUGGUAGACGCGCCGACCUGGAAAGUUGGUUUCUGAAAGGAAGUACGGGUUCGAAUCCCGUCGGAGGGG
RNAcentral lists this transfer RNA (84 nucleotides) under Hymenobacter sp. BRD67. It matches the Rfam family "tRNA". Rfam says of the family: Transfer RNA (tRNA) molecules are approximately 80 nucleotides in length. Their secondary structure includes four short double-helical elements and three loops (D, anti-codon, and T loops). The record is from Rfam by way of RNAcentral. Lineage: Bacteria; Pseudomonadati; Bacteroidota; Cytophagia; Cytophagales; Hymenobacteraceae.